ACAAACUCGAAUUUCGUGUUCUCUGAGCUCUCAAAUGAACGGUACUUGCGAAUCCACUCACAGCCACCUUGUUAAAUUUUUUAAUCGAUCUGAAAAUGAAAAUUGAAAACUGAAAUUGAAUUCAAAUGUGGAGGAUGAAGCGGCAAAGAUUUCGGCCGAAGAGGAAACGCAAUUGACCAACAUACGCACUUUGGAAAACGACAUCCACUUCGACUUUGGAUCUUAUUCAGCAAGAGAGAGUUGGGUUAUCUGCCAAACUUUCAGAGAAGAGAGCCUACUAUAGCAAGGUUGCAGAGGACAUGAAUGCCAAAUUACAGAAGCAACAGGUCACCGGAAAGGCUGUUGGGCAAAAAAGUAAAGUUGAAGGCAUGGC
Glycine soja is the source of this 373-nucleotide long non-coding RNA. RefSeq lists it as uncharacterized. The record is from RefSeq and is a predicted model, not a curated record. The transcript has 4 exons. Lineage: Eukaryota; Viridiplantae; Streptophyta; Magnoliopsida; Fabales; Fabaceae.